Hippoglossus stenolepis (Pacific halibut) is the source of this 2243-nucleotide long non-coding RNA. RefSeq lists it as uncharacterized. NCBI's taxonomy places the organism in Eukaryota, Metazoa, Chordata, Actinopteri, Pleuronectiformes, Pleuronectidae. The record is from RefSeq and is a predicted model, not a curated record. The transcript has 3 exons.
CCGAGCGACUGAGCGAGAGCUGGACAAACCGCCUCCGCAGCUCUGGACCUCACCCAGGGCUUUCUGUGCCGAGGAGCCGCAGUCACAGGGGGGGGGGUUACGCAGUGAGAGAGGGACGACGUCUGUCCACACGUGUCGUCUACUCGGGUCUCGAGUCUUUUGAAGAACGAUUUCUUUACACCGGAGAAAGAAGUGAAAUCAUCUCACCGAACUACCCAGAGAUUCAAGGAGGAUUAGGAUCGGAUGACUUGUUAGGAUGGACUGGAAUGUACGGCCGAGGUCUGUGGGAGUUUCUGUUGCACUGCCAGAAAAACUGAACCCUUCCCUUUCAGCAGCAAACGUUCACGGUCCCUGAAGGUGCGAGUGAAAGGUUUUGAAUUCACUGUUCAGGAAAACGUCGAUACGAGGCCGUAUGCGUCAUGUCAUCGACCUUCUCCGUGAGAAGUGACGGGCGAGGCCCCGUUACCGAGCUGUCCUCAUCCCUUUCUAAAACAUCCGAACUGUAACCUCCCACUUUUGUCCCUUUCGGUGCCUAUUUGCGCUAAAGGCCGUGUUUCACAGCGAGCAGGACCGCCGCGCCACGGAUCACCAAACAAAGUCAGGAAAGAGGUGGAUAACGUGGUGAUUGACAGCUGAGACGGGCUCACAAAAGGUCGAUACCGCGGCUCCAGACUCCAGAUCACCAGCACACGAUGGCAGCACCUGUAUUCUGGAUGUUUUUGCACCACGAGAGGAAGCGGUGAAGCGUCGUCCAUCUUUCUUUGCGUUCGCUGACGCCGACUGAAAGAUUUUAUGUUACAUCACUGCGGCCAAACCACAGAGCAAACACAAGUUAUUAAUGUUGUGUCGUCAGUGUGUUUAUUUCUGCAGAACAUUUUGUUUUUGAAGAGAAGACAGAAACCACUUGGUGGGAGGACGGGACAUGAGCCAAGAGAGAAGUCAUUACAUUUUCCCUCGGAUAUGAACAAAGGAGCAAAAAUCUGGAUCUAGCGUAUUUUAAAUGUGGUUUCAUCGAUGGGUAGAUUUAACAGGACCAGAAACAUUAGAGAAUGUGGGUUCAGUAGAGAAUCUGACAAACUAUUUGAUUUCAGGCACAAAGAUGCAUCGUCACCUCUGAUUGGACCGGACCAGCUCAGAUUUAUGUGACGCAAUAAAACUCACAACAAAUACUGGACGAUCCGGACGACGCAGAUAAAACCUGCUCAAUCCCAAAAGAAAAGGUUUUCAGGUUUCACACCAGGCGUUGGGACCAGUAAAGGUCCGACACCGGUUCUGACACGCAGCCAGUUGUUCCAGUUGGGUGCUGAAUGGGGUCGAGGUCACUGCUCCGUGCGGACCAGUCAAAACCCCCACAUAAACACCAAACUGGGAAAACUGUUCCUCUGAAGCCUUGAGCAGGAACGCACCGUCAUGUGGAAUCAGGAAAGAGACCCACACCAAACACUCAGCAAGGAAAACGUGAAAAUGAAACGUCUGAAUCUGUUUAUUGGAGCAGAUCUGCCGCGCUGGCAUCUGCUGCGCUCAGGAACCGUCUGAACAGUUUGGAGCAUUUCCAGCAGAUUCUUCGUUGGCGGCUCACGAGUUCUUACUGAAAUCUGCAGCGACAACGUUAAAAUCAUGUGGCUCAACGCAGCCAGACGGAUGAACCCUGCAGCGGAAUCUGCUUGUUGCAGCAGGGAAAGUACCGGAAAUCAGCGAGAUCAAGAUAAAGACAACAUCUAUGGCAGCGACGCGUCUCUGUGGGGAGACUGGCAGUAUUGUGUAGCUCAGGGUUUUCUCCGACGCCAUUAUGACAACAUGUUUGUGUUUACGCCCCGGUGUGUGUGCGGCGGUGGAUAUUCUUCCCACUGACCAACAUCCUGGCAAACAAAGGACGUUCUGUGCCCUGAACAGGAGGACGACUCCAACCAGGAGCCGGCGAGGGAAACGGAGGCUUUUCUACAUCUCCAUGGAUACACAUGCGACUUUAAUAAUCACAAUAAUAAUAAGUAUUUAGAUAUUUUAAGUGUGUUAGUAAUAAAUGUGAAUCGUCGGGUUCCUCUGAAUCUCACAGAGUCAGAAAUGUGGGUUUUUAAACACACACACAAUGCUUCUGAAAUCACGUCAGUGCAGAAAGCUGCUGUAUUUUUAAUUAAUCAUUAACAAUUAAAGGCAUAAAAAGCCACUGUUCACUUGCUGCUUCCUUCACACAGGAACAUGUGUGUCUCAUUAACCACAAGGCCAAACGGGCCUGUAAACUAAUG